RNAcentral lists this ribosomal RNA (793 nucleotides) under uncultured archaeon. RNAcentral's name for it is "bacterial SSU rRNA". It matches the Rfam family "Archaeal small subunit ribosomal RNA", at positions 85 to 879 of the family's 1478-position model. The record is from RNAcentral.
ACUGCUCAGUAACACGUGGACAACCUGCCCUUAGGUUGGGUAUAAACCCGGGAAACUGGGUAUAAUACCCGAUAGGUCUCGAUUGCUGGAAUGCAUCGAGAUUUAAAGCUCCGGCGCCUAAGGAUGGGUCUGCGGCCUAUCAGGUAGUAGUGGGUGUAGCGUACCUACUAGCCUACGACGGGUACGGGUUGUGAGAGCAAGAGCCCGGAGAUGGAUUCUGAGACACGAAUCCAGGCCCUACGGGGUGCAGCAGGCGCGAAAACUUUACAAUGCUGGCAACAGCGAUAAGGGAACCUCGAGUGCCAGGUUACAAAUCUGGCUGUCGAGAUGCCUAAAAAGCAUUUCAUAGCAAGGGCCGGGCAAGAUCGGUGCCAGCCGCCGCGGUAACACCGGCGGCUCGAGUGGUAACCGUUAUUAUUGGGUCUAAAGGGUCUGUAGCCGGCCGGAUAAGUCUCUUGAGAAAUCUGGCAGCUUAACUGUCAGGCUUUCAGGAGAUACUGUCUGGCUCGAGGCCGGGAGAGGUGAGAGGUACUUCAGGGGUAGGGGUGAAAUCUUGUAAUCCUUGAAGGACCACCAGUGGCGAAGGCGUCUCACCAGAACGGACCUGACGGCAAGGGACGAAAGCUAGGGGCACGAACCGGAUUAGAUACCCGGGUAGUCCUAGCCGUAAACGAUACUCGCUAGGUGUCGGCCACGGUGCGACCGUUGUCGGUGCCGUAGGGAAGCCGUGAAGCGAGCCACCUGGGAAGUACGGCCGCAAGGCUGAAACUUAAAGGAAUUGGCGGGGGAGCAC